Molecule: long non-coding RNA, 278 nt
Filed under: Hordeum vulgare
Lineage: Eukaryota; Viridiplantae; Streptophyta; Magnoliopsida; Poales; Poaceae
Description: long non-coding RNA (HVUL_LNC001618)
Source: RNAcentral
UUUGCAUGCGCUCUCGUCGUCCUUGCGGUGGGCGGCGUGGGUCUGGGCGAAGCUCGGUGGCCGUUCGCUCCUCCACCCAUCUGCCUUUAGGGUCGCCAGGGAGCACAACCGGGUUGUGUGUUCGUUGCUCCCUCUCUAUCGGGGGAUCACGAGGGUCCAGGUGCGAGAUGGACGGAGGACCUCCUUCUGGUUCGACCACUGGCUCCCGUGUGGGGUCAUGGCCACGGCCUUCCCCGCCCUGUUGUCGCAUGCCACCUGCGAGGAGGCUACUGUGUGGG